UACAGAGGGUGCGAGCGUUGUUCGGAAUUAUUGGGCGUAAAGGGCGCGUAGGCGGUGCGGCAAGUCACCUGUGAAAUCUCUGGGCUCAACCCAGAGUCUGCUUCCGAAACUGCUGUGCUUGAGUGUGGGAGAGGCGCGUGGAAUUGCAGGUGUAGCGGUGAAAUGCGUAGAUAUCUGCAGGAACACCCGUGGCGAAAGCGGCGCGCUGGACCACUACUGACGCUGAGGAACGAAAGCUAGGGGAGCAAACAGG
RNAcentral lists this ribosomal RNA (253 nucleotides) under uncultured bacterium. RNAcentral's name for it is "partial 16S ribosomal RNA". It matches the Rfam family "Bacterial small subunit ribosomal RNA", at positions 524 to 776 of the family's 1533-position model. The record is from RNAcentral.